GACGAACGCUGGCGGCGUGCUUAACACAUGCAAGUCGAACGGUGAUGCUCCAGCUUGCUGGAGUGGAUCAGUGGCGAACGGGUGAGUAACACGUGAGCAACCUGCCCCAGACUCUGGAAUAAGCGCUGGAAACGGCGUCUAAUACUGGAUACGAAACUGGCCCGCAUGGGCAUGGUUUGGAAAGUUUUUCGGUUUGGGAUGGGCUCGCGGCCUAUCAGCUUGUUGGUGAGGUAAUGGCUCACCAAGGCGACGACGGGUAGCCGGCCUGAGAGGGCGACCGGCCACACUGGGACUGAGACACGGGCCAGACUCCUACGGGAGGCAGCAGUGGGGAAUAUUGCACAAUGGGCGAAAGCCUGAUGCAGCGACGCCGCGUGAGGGAUGACGGCCUUCGGGUUGUAAACCUCUUUCAGCAGGGAAGAAGCGAAAGUGACGGUACCUGCAGAAGAAGCACCGGCUAACUACGUG
Molecule: ribosomal RNA, 468 nt
Filed under: uncultured bacterium
Lineage: Bacteria
Description: partial 16S ribosomal RNA
Rfam family: Bacterial small subunit ribosomal RNA
Source: RNAcentral